Colias croceus (clouded yellow) is the source of this 290-nucleotide long non-coding RNA. RefSeq lists it as uncharacterized. The transcript has 3 exons. Lineage: Eukaryota; Metazoa; Arthropoda; Insecta; Lepidoptera; Pieridae. The record is from RefSeq and is a predicted model, not a curated record.
UAUAUCUACUUAAAUUAUAUUUAAAGCACACAAUAAUGGAUAAUUAUGUAGUGAUUUAAAUACAAUUUUCUUUAAAAUAACAUAUCUAGCCCAGCGAUCGUGGAAAAUGCUAAACAAAUUUCGAUGAUAAGUCGGUUCAAAGAAGAUGCAGAUAUUAAAUAAGGUCAUAAAAGAAGGAAGACGACGAAUUUCAUUCAUUAUUACACUGAACGAAGAAUGGAGGGGAAUGAAGCAUAAAUAGUGAAGUAACAGAGGACAAGUCAACAUUAUCGACCAAGGAAAGAAGAAAU